Sciurus carolinensis (gray squirrel) is the source of this 1046-nucleotide long non-coding RNA. RefSeq lists it as uncharacterized. The transcript is spliced from 4 exons. NCBI's taxonomy places the organism in Eukaryota, Metazoa, Chordata, Mammalia, Rodentia, Sciuridae. The record is from RefSeq and is a predicted model, not a curated record.
CUAAUUCCAGCUCAUCAGCUAAUAUCACUCUCCUCUCCAACUACUUCCCUUGGAGGAAUCUGCAAAGAUUAGAUUUGAACUGCUGCUGUGAAAAAUACCCCAAAGGAGGAAGGUGAAACUGAUGUUUCCUUGCUCAGCAGCGGAACUGAGUGAAGAUCCUGUGGGACGACCUUGCAGUGAUAGAACACCUUCAGCAUGUCUGGGAGAUGCAGAAGACUCUUGCUUCUUGAAGUGAGUUGUCAAGAGGCUGGAAAAGAAACUCUGCCUUCUCAGUCAUGACUCAGUUGUAGGUUCUCCUGCAGUUUGAGAAGGAGCUGAAUUUGGGCAUUCAAGGUCUGUUGAUUCUGAGUCUUAGAUUUGGAGGAAGUUUUAUAGAUCAUUUAGUACAACUGUUUCAUUCUUCUCAUGAGGAACCCUGAGCUCUGGAAAGAGACUCCUGACACUACAAAUAGUGGAGCUAAGGGACAGAGCUUGUUUCCCUGAAGAUGCUGUCAAGAUGAAUCGCCCCGUCCUGAAGGCUGAUCUAUCUCUGGAGAUGCUUCCUGUUAUGCAAGAUUCGCAUACCCAACUGCCCCCCUGACAUCUCCAGGUGAAUAUUCUCUAGACAUGUCAAAUUAAACAUGUCCAAAGUGGAUGUCUUGAUUUUCCCCUCUCCUGCUCUGCUCAGUUUCUUCAGCUGUCCCUCUCUCAGGUCACAGAAUCAUCAUCCAUUCAAAUGCUGGAGCCAGACAUCAAAGCAUCACCCUUGACUUCCCCUUUCUCUCACUUCCUGCUUAUAAUCCAAUAAGACCAUUUAAUUCAAUCUGAAAAAUAUAAAGGGAGGCCAUUCCUCUCAUUUUGUUGAAUGCUGUCCUCUUGACCCAUGCCAUUCCUGUCUCUUGCUUGUAUUGUUGCAGUAGUCUCCCUGUUGGUCCUCCUUCCAUUAUUGCUCUAUUUCUACUAUUAUUCUCCUCCACCCAGUAGUCAGAGUUUGCUUAAAAAAUACAAUGUCUAUCAUGUUUCUCUUCUUACUUUAAAUCCUUCAGUUUUUGUUGUUGUUGUUGUUU